This 250-nucleotide ribosomal RNA is filed under the name uncultured prokaryote. Its description in RNAcentral is "partial 16S ribosomal RNA". It matches the Rfam family "Bacterial small subunit ribosomal RNA", at positions 524 to 773 of the family's 1533-position model. The record is from RNAcentral.
UACGAGGGGUGCAAGCGUUGUUCGGAAUCACUGGGCGUAAAGGGAGCGCAGGCGGAGGUGCAAGCAAUCUGUACAAUCCCGGGGCCCAACCCCGGUCCUGCAGAUUGGACUGCAUUUCUUGGAUAGUUCAGGGGCAAGCGGAAUUCCUGGUGUAGCGGUGGAAUGCGUAGAGAUCAGGAAGAACACCGAUGGCGAAGGCAGCUUGCUGGGGACUUAUCGACGCUCAGGCUCGAAAGCGCGGGUAGCAAAC